Acipenser ruthenus (sterlet) is the source of this 945-nucleotide long non-coding RNA. RefSeq lists it as uncharacterized. The transcript has 3 exons. NCBI's taxonomy places the organism in Eukaryota, Metazoa, Chordata, Actinopteri, Acipenseriformes, Acipenseridae. The record is from RefSeq and is a predicted model, not a curated record.
AAGUCCGUAGUUUGACGCGCGCACAUUCUUGAAAGGCUAAUUUUUUUGGUGGUUACUUCUGUCUAGGUCGGUCGACGAUAUCUCACAAAAAAAAAACAAAAAAAAAACCUUGAAAUAUGCGAUAUGUGAUUUUGUCAAUGAAUGGAAGAUUGGUCUGGGGUAAAUGACCAUGAGUCAAUUUUACAAACUGAAAGAAGUCAGGCGGGGGUCAGAUGUUAUUGUGAAGUGGACAGACAGAAAAGCCUACCCAGCAAAUACUCUGGAUCUAGGAGGAGAUGAUUGGGUCAUUCUCAUUAAGAAAAAACACGAGAUAUGUCUUGUGAAGGGAAAGCGGAAAAAAGAUUUAACGAGUUAUGUCUAAUGAGGAGACCGUCACUCAAGCAGCAACUGUGAAGAGGGAAUUCCCUGGAACACAUGACACUGCUAUCAAGCUAGCCAUUAGAAAGAAGUUUGGCAAUGAAAUGAAGCAGCUACGGAGAAAUGAAAAUAGUGUAAUUAUUCCUCAACACAAAAACAGCUCAUAGUUUUCUACUUUUAGCUUGUACUUAUUGUUUUUGUGUAUCGUAUUUCGAUAUUAUUUUAGUUCAUUGUCAGGUUUUAGUUUAACAGAGGUAAUUACAGUAGUUUUCAAUGUAAAUGGUUUCCUAUUUGUAUUCAUUAGUGCUUAUUCCUUUAAUACCUCAUACUUUAGCACUUAGUCUAUGCUAUGUGGUCCAGUUAUGUUCUUAAUAAAAUGUCAAGUUAGUGUAGGACAAUUUAGCUGAAGAGCUAAAUUAUAGUUUUUAAAAUGCUUCAAUUUGUGUUAAUGUUUUACUCCAUUAUUGAGUGUAUUUAGUAGGAUGAUGUGUUGUCCUAAGUGCUUGUAAUGUUAAUGCCUUCUAAUCAGAUUUUCUGUGAUUGAAUCAAUAUGUUUACACAAAUUGUGUUGCCAUUAAAUAUAAUAAA